UUCAAAUGAGAAAUGGUCUGAAACCGAUGUACUGAAGCUAGCUGCUGCAGUAGAAUCCAACACACUUCAUCCAAUUGGGAAAGCUAUUCUGGAAGCUGCCCGGGCUGCUAAAUGUUCUAACGUAAAGACUGAUGAUGGAACAUUUAUGGAAGAACCUGGAUCUGGUGCCGUAGCCUCUUGUGGGAAGAAGAUGGUUUCUGUCGGUACAUUGGAAUGGGUUAGAAGUCGUCAUUAG
Molecule: long non-coding RNA, 235 nt
Filed under: Helianthus annuus (common sunflower)
Lineage: Eukaryota; Viridiplantae; Streptophyta; Magnoliopsida; Asterales; Asteraceae
Description: hypothetical non coding rna
Source: RNAcentral